UCACUUUCAGUUUUAUAAAAAAGUUUAUUAAACUUUUAAUUGUUGUUGAUGCGGUGUAUUUGUUACUGCGCGUGCCGUAAAGCAUCCGGCAUGUUAACGUUACUGAGGUGAUGUUAAGCAGCUGUGAUGACGUUAAAUCUGAAGUGUUCUACAACUGUGUUUAGAGCGCUGUGUGCCUCCAACAGAAGCUGGCAGAGCAAUUGUCAAGAAAAGAAGAUACCAUUACGACUUUUUUUUUAUUCUUUAAAAGAGAUUAUACGACUAGGUGAAGAUCUGACAUCGCGGAAUUCUUCAAGGAUAACGCAACUUUUCUGCCAAACGAGGUCGUAAGUGUAUUGUGCAUCCCAAGUACCCCCUGCAUUCUUAUCAAGGUCUUCCUGUGAAGAAAUCCUGAACGAGGGUCGACGGUUCAGAUGAAGGGAACCUAUGCUUCCAAGACUCAUGUAUGAACAACUUCGAGAAUCCAUGUACAAUUUGAGCUUUUUUCAAAUCUCAACAUGGAACUUGGACUGAACAUGCAGCAAAAGGAAAAAAAAAAAAUUAGUAGUUUCCCCAAGCUGGCACAUGGCAAGAGAUACUAAAAGCACACAAACACUUGGAGCCCCGUUCUUAAUUUAGAUUGUAUAGUUCUCUUAGUUUCACAUUGACAUGUUAGGCAUGAGUGCAUGAAUCUUUGUUCUUUAUUUUCAAAUGAUGUACAAGAGUUUUUUUUUUGUUGUUGUUGUUUUUUGCAGUACCAUGUCAAUUGUAGAUGACAGAAUUCACAAUUUUGAUGUGAACUGUCCUUUUAAAUAACAUUUCACUUGACUACUGACUAGAAGUCUGUAGCAAUUGUUAUUAAUUACAGCCCUGUCUUUGUAUAAUUUUUUUCCCAUGUAUCUGAAAAUGUUUUGAAUCUUGACUGUUUCACUGUGAAGUUUAUCUUUGUGACCACUAUUUGGUGCAACACCAAUAUUGUACAAGUAGCUGCUUGUGUUUUCUUUUUUCUGCCUGGUGCUGUUUAAAACUAAAACACAUUGUUAAAUUAAUUGAUGUAAUAAUAUUUUUGUCUUCACCUGUUAAAGGCAAAUAAAAGCUACUGAACGCACUUUUAAGAAUGUUUACAUGAGGUAAAAAUAAACCAUGUUCAAUUUGUAUAUAUUGUGCUGGAUUUAUUUGCUGCUGAAGAUAGGCCUAUGCUAUAAUUAUUUAGAAAUUUCUGCAAAACGGAUUGUCCGUUUAUGGUACAGAAGAAAAUGUAAAUCUACAGAAUUUUCCUUUUUAAUGUUGAAGGAAAUGUCUGUAAAUUUAAC
Long non-coding RNA from Onychostoma macrolepis, 1292 nucleotides. RefSeq lists it as uncharacterized. The record is from RefSeq and is a predicted model, not a curated record. The transcript is spliced from 3 exons. Lineage: Eukaryota; Metazoa; Chordata; Actinopteri; Cypriniformes; Cyprinidae.